RNAcentral lists this unclassified non-coding RNA (394 nucleotides) under Hevea brasiliensis (rubber tree). The record is from RNAcentral. Lineage: Eukaryota; Viridiplantae; Streptophyta; Magnoliopsida; Malpighiales; Euphorbiaceae.
GUUCAACUCGUGCGGCACGCAACAAUGACAGACCGUCUUUGCUUUCAGAACCUUCCUUCUCCUGCGUUAAUUUUUGUUUUUGUUUUCUCCUUAAAAAUAAAACAAAGUAAAUUAAAUAAAGGAAAAGAAAAAAAGAUAUUCUCUGCUGUGUUGAGGAAUAAAAGUGCAGUCGGGUGUUUUCUCUUCUAUCUCUCUCUUUGAGCCAGAACAGAGCUAGAAAUUCGAAAACAUAGCAGCAGGGGUUGUUAAAGGGGACUAAGAGAGAGAGAGAAGAGAUAAGGAAGCAACCGUGCGCGCGCUUGGGGUCAAAAGCAGAGUGAAAGCAGAACAGGGGGUGAUAGACCGUGGAAUCUAAAGGAAUCACACACAAAGUUUUGGGUUUUGGUUGUUUUUG